GGUUAAGCGACUAAGCGUACACGGUGGAUGCCCUGGCAGUCAGAGGCGAUGAAGGACGUGCUAAUCUGCGAUAAGCGUCGGUGAGGUGAUAUGAACCGUUAUAACCGGCGAUUUCCGAAUGGGGAAACCCAGUGUGUUUCGACACACUAUCAUUAACUGAAUCCAUAGGUUAAUGAGGCGAACCGGGGGAACUGAAACAUCUAAGUACCCCGAGGAAAAGAAAUCAACCGAGAUUCCCCCAGUAGCGGCGAGCGAACGGGGAGCAGCCCAGAGCCUGAAUCAGUGUGUGUGUUAGUGGAAGCGUCUGGAAAGGCGUGCGAUACAGGGUGACAGCCCCGUACACAAAAAUGCACAUACUGUGAGCUCGAUGAGUAGGGCGGGACACGUGGUAUCCUGUCUGAAUAUGGGGGGACCAUCCUCCAAGGCUAAAUACUCCUGACUGACCGAUAGUGAACCAGUACCGUGAG
RNAcentral lists this ribosomal RNA (467 nucleotides) under Escherichia coli. RNAcentral's name for it is "partial 23S ribosomal RNA". It matches the Rfam family "Bacterial large subunit ribosomal RNA", at positions 1 to 507 of the family's 2925-position model. The record is from RNAcentral. Lineage: Bacteria; Pseudomonadati; Pseudomonadota; Gammaproteobacteria; Enterobacterales; Enterobacteriaceae.